CUUUGGAAAGGAAUAGCCUCGGGAAACUGGGAGUAAUGCCUUAUAAGAUACGUUUGUCGCAUGGCAUUUGUAUUAAGCGCUCCGGCGCCAUAGGAUGGACCCGCGUCCCAUUAGCUAGUUGGUGAGAUAACAGCUCACCAAGGCCACGAUGGGUAACCGGUCUGAGAGGGCGAACGGUCACACUGGAACUGAGACACGGUCCAGACUCCUACGGGAGGCAGCAGUGGGGAAUAUUGCGCAAUGGGGGCAACCCUGACGCAGCAAUACCGCGUGAGUGAAGAAGGUUUUCGGAUCGUAAAGCUCUGUUAAUGGGGAAGAAAAAAAGACGGUACCCAAGAAGAAAGUUCCGGCUAACUACGUGCCAGCAGCCGCGGUAAUACGUGGGGAACAAGCGUUGUCCGGAUUUACUGGGCGUAAAGGGCACGCAGGCGGUUUUUUAAGUCAGAUGUGAAAGGCCACAGCUCAACUGUGGACAUGCAUUUGAAACUGAAAGACUUGAGUAUUGGAGAGGCAAGUGGAAUUCCUAGUGUAGCGGUGAAAUGCGUAGAUAUUAGGAGGAACACCGGUGGCGAAGGCGGCUUGCUGGACAAAUACUGACGC
Molecule: ribosomal RNA, 600 nt
Filed under: uncultured bacterium
Lineage: Bacteria
Description: bacterial SSU rRNA
Rfam family: Bacterial small subunit ribosomal RNA
Source: RNAcentral